RNAcentral lists this ribosomal RNA (504 nucleotides) under Penicillium sp. E6. Its description in RNAcentral is "eukaryotic LSU rRNA". It matches the Rfam family "Eukaryotic large subunit ribosomal RNA", at positions 38 to 546 of the family's 3401-position model. The record is from RNAcentral. Lineage: Eukaryota; Fungi; Ascomycota; Eurotiomycetes; Eurotiales; Aspergillaceae.
GCAUAUCAAUAAGCGGAGGAAAAGAAACCAACAGGGAUUGCCCCAGUAACGGCGAGUGAAGCGGCAAGAGCUCAAAUUUGAAAGCUGGCUCCUUCGGGGUCCGCAUUGUAAUUUGCAGAGGAUGCUUCGGGAGCGGUCCCCAUCUAAGUGCCCUGGAACGGGACGUCAUAGAGGGUGAGAAUCCCGUAUGGGAUGGGGUGUCCGCGCCCGUGUGAAGCUCCUUCGACGAGUCGAGUUGUUUGGGAAUGCAGCUCUAAAUGGGUGGUAAAUUUCAUCUAAAGCUAAAUAUUGGCCGGAGACCGAUAGCGCACAAGUAGAGUGAUCGAAAGAUGAAAAGCACUUUGAAAAGAGAGUUAAAAAGCACGUGAAAUUGUUGAAAGGGAAGCGCUUGCGACCAGACUCGCUCGCGGGGUUCAGCCGGCAUUCGUGCCGGUGUAUUUCCCCGCGGGCGGGCCAGCGUCGGUUUGGGCGGUCGGUCAAAGGCCCUCGGAAGGUAACGCCCCU